AGCAUUUGCUGAGCCUCCUCUGAACACAAGGCGGAUGGUCAAGCAUGGCUGAGGAAGGUUUUCUGGUCAAGAAUCUAGGCUGGGCAUCAUUCUCCCAGUGACCACACGUGGACAGAACAAGAGCAGGACAUGCAAAGAUUGGUGCUUCCCUGAGACCUGCCCACUAGUCACCACAUGCAGAGAAUGGACACUUCAUGCCUCACUGAUGUGAACCUCCAGGACUGACCCUUGUCUUCCACAGAGCUGGAUUUGUGAAAGGAUGACAGCAACCACAGGAAAAAGAAAUCAGUGAGCCACAUUAAAACGCCUUUAUUCCCUGCAACAGUUAAAGCAACAAAAUCUA
This 343-nucleotide long non-coding RNA is filed under the name Homo sapiens (human). RNAcentral's name for it is "non-protein coding lnc-FAM20A-4:2". The record is from RNAcentral. Lineage: Eukaryota; Metazoa; Chordata; Mammalia; Primates; Hominidae.